UGAGCCAAGUUUAGGGUUUUCUCAAAACCCAAAGAUGUUUGAACUGAAGAGUUUGAUCAUGGCUCAGAUUGAACGCUGGCGGCAGGCCUAACACAUGCAAGUCGAGCGGCAGCACGGGUACUUGUACCUGGUGGCGAGCGGCGGACGGGUGAGUAAUGC
RNAcentral lists this ribosomal RNA (159 nucleotides) under Pseudomonas protegens. Its description in RNAcentral is "partial 16S ribosomal RNA". The stretch from base 41 to 159 matches the Rfam family "Bacterial small subunit ribosomal RNA", at positions 1 to 116 of the family's 1533-position model. Lineage: Bacteria; Pseudomonadati; Pseudomonadota; Gammaproteobacteria; Pseudomonadales; Pseudomonadaceae. The record is from RNAcentral.